RNAcentral lists this small RNA (643 nucleotides) under Aspergillus fumigatus. Its description in RNAcentral is "eukaryotic LSU rRNA". The stretch from base 300 to 453 matches the Rfam family "5.8S ribosomal RNA". The record is from RNAcentral. Lineage: Eukaryota; Fungi; Ascomycota; Eurotiomycetes; Eurotiales; Aspergillaceae.
UUGAAAAGGGGGUCCCGCGGAAGCAACAAGGUACGAUAGACACGGGUGGAGGUUGACCCAGAGGGCCCUCACUCGGUAAUGACUUCCGUAGGUGAACCUGCGGAAGGAUCAUUACCGAGUGAGGGCCCUCUGGGUCCAACCUCCCACCCGUGUCUAUCGUACCUUGUUGCUUCGGCGGGCCCGCCGUUUCGACGGCCGCCGGGGAGGCCUUGCGCCCCCGGGCCCGCGCCCGCCGAAGACCCCAACAUGAACGCUGUUCUGAAAGUAUGCAGUCUGAGUUGAUUAUCGUAAUCAGUUAAAACUUUCAACAACGGAUCUCUUGGUUCCGGCAUCGAUGAAGAACGCAGCGAAAUGCGAUAAGUAAUGUGAAUUGCAGAAUUCAGUGAAUCAUCGAGUCUUUGAACGCACAUUGCGCCCCCUGGUAUUCCGGGGGGCAUGCCUGUCCGAGCGUCAUUGCUGCCCUCAAGCACGGCUUGUGUGUUGGGCCCCCGUCCCCCUCUCCCGGGGGACGGGCCCGAAAGGCAGCGGCGGCACCGCGUCCGGUCCUCGAGCGUAUGGGGCUUUGUCACCUGCUCUGUAGGCCCGGCCGGCGCCAGCCGACACCCAACUUUAUUUUUCUAAGGUUGACCUCGGAUCAGGUAGG